CAACUUUCAACAACGGAUCUCUUGGUUCUGGCAUCGAUGAAGAACGCAGCGAAAUGCGAUAAGUAGUGUGAAUUGCAGAAUUCAGUGAAUCAUCGAAUCUUUGAACGCACAUUGCGCCCCUUGGGAUUCCAUGGGGCAUGCCUGUUCGAGCGUCAUU
This 157-nucleotide ribosomal RNA is filed under the name Ampelomyces quisqualis. RNAcentral describes it as "5.8S ribosomal RNA". It matches the Rfam family "5.8S ribosomal RNA". Rfam says of the family: 5.8S ribosomal RNA (5.8S rRNA) is a component of the large subunit of the eukaryotic ribosome. It is transcribed by RNA polymerase I as part of the 45S precursor that also contains 18S and 28S rRNA. The record is from RNAcentral. Lineage: Eukaryota; Fungi; Ascomycota; Dothideomycetes; Pleosporales; Phaeosphaeriaceae.